GUCAGUGUUGAGGCUGCAUCGGGCUUUCGCUCUACACAACAAAGGGCAAACCGCCUUGCGUCAACACGGACUUCAGGGUGAAACUCGUCCUUGAGCGUCCUCCGGUUUGCUUGUUGUCCAGAAAAGCUGAAAAGACUCGCGCAGCCCAGCCAGGGGACGCCUAAUUGUCGAUGGAAAUUAGACAACACUCGCAGACUCGUCCUCUGAAGGUGGAGCCUACAGUGUUUCAGGACCCCAUCCUGCUGGACCUGCUGGUGCAGAUGCUGAAGGAGACCCAGGAGAGCGAGGACAUGAACGUGGACAUGCUGAAGUACACUCAGAAAGAUCUGGACACUGUGCUGGAAAUGACCCGAAAACAGGCGGAGGAGAGAGAGGUGGCUCUGAAGGUGCUGCAUGCUGAGAGAAAGGCGACUCUGCACGCUCUGCGCGCUGAGAUCAAUAGGCUCAGGCGGGAUCUUCAGCACAUAAUGUAGUGUACACUAGCUGUAAACACCUGUUUAUCUGUGUUUAUUUACAGUCACAGUGUUUAACCUCAUGCUUCCUACUGUUGGAAAUAAAAUAUACAUGAAAUAAAACACGAGGGUAUGAGUA
Long non-coding RNA from Ictalurus punctatus (channel catfish), 591 nucleotides. The record is from Ensembl. Lineage: Eukaryota; Metazoa; Chordata; Actinopteri; Siluriformes; Ictaluridae.